GACGAACGCUGGCGGCGUGCUUAACACAUGCAAGUCGAACGGAAAGGCCCUGCUUUUGUGGGGUGCUCGAGUGGCGAACGGGUGAGUAACACGUGGGUAACCUGCCCUUGACUUUGGGAUAACUUCAGGAAACUGGGGCUAAUACCGGAUAGGAGCUCCUGCUGCAUGGUGGGGGUUGGAAAGUUUCGGCGGUUGGGGAUGGACUCGCGGCUUAUCAGCUUGUUGGUGGGGUAGUGGCUUACCAAGGCUUUGACGGGUAGCCGGCCUGAGAGGGUGACCGGCCACAUUGGGACUGAGAUACGGCCCAGACUCCUACUGGAGGCAGCAGUGGGGAAUAUUGCACAAUGGGCGGAAGCCUGAUGCAGCAACGCCGCGUGCGGGAUGACGGCCUUCGGGUUGUAAACCGCUUUCGCCUGUGACGAAGCGUAAGUGACGGUAAUGGGUAAAGAAGCACCGGCUAACUACGUG
RNAcentral lists this ribosomal RNA (468 nucleotides) under uncultured bacterium. Its description in RNAcentral is "partial 16S ribosomal RNA". It matches the Rfam family "Bacterial small subunit ribosomal RNA", at positions 28 to 507 of the family's 1533-position model. The record is from RNAcentral.